RNAcentral lists this microRNA precursor (57 nucleotides) under Heligmosomoides polygyrus. Its description in RNAcentral is "microRNA hpo-mir-5896 precursor". The record is from miRBase by way of RNAcentral. Lineage: Eukaryota; Metazoa; Nematoda; Chromadorea; Rhabditida; Heligmosomidae.
AUGGGCAAUGCACCCUGAUCAGACCGCUAUGGGAUCUGGGCAGGGCGUUGUUCAAUA